RNAcentral lists this ribosomal RNA (498 nucleotides) under uncultured bacterium. Its description in RNAcentral is "partial 16S ribosomal RNA". It matches the Rfam family "Bacterial small subunit ribosomal RNA", at positions 30 to 523 of the family's 1533-position model. The record is from RNAcentral.
AUUGAACGCUGGCGGCAUGCUUUACACAUGCAAGUCGAACGGCAGCGCGGGGCAACCUGGCGGCGAGUGGCGAACGGGUGAGUAAUACAUCGGAACGUACCCAGAAGUGGGGGAUAACGUAGCGAAAGUUACGCUAAUACCGCAUACGUUCUACGGAAGAAAGUGGGGGACCUUCGGGCCUCAUGCUUUUGGAGCGGCCGAUGUCUGAUUAGCUAGUUGGUGAGGUAAAGGCUCACCAAGGCGACGAUCAGUAGCUGGUCUGAGAGGACGACCAGCCACACUGGGACGGAGACACGGCCCAGACUCCUACGGGAGGCAGCAGUGGGGAAUUUUGGACAAUGGGCGCAAGCCUGAUCCAGCAAUGCCGCGUGAGUGAAGAAGGCCUUCGGGUUGUAAAGCUCUUUUGUCAGGGAAGAAACGGCCGAGGCUAAUACCUUUGGCUAAUAACGGUACCUGAAGAAUAAGCACCGGCUAACUACGUGCCAGCCGCCGCGGUAA